AUUGAACGCUGGCGGAAUGCUUUACACAUGCAAGUCGAACGGCAGCACGGACUUCGGUCUGGUGGCGAGUGGCGAACGGGUGAGUAAUGUAUCGGAACGUGCCCAGUCGUGGGGGAUAACGUAGUGAAAAUUACGCUAAUACCGCGUACGAUCUAUGGAUGAAAGCGGGGGAUCGCAAGACCUCGCGCGAUUGGAGCGGCCGAUAUCAGAUUAGGUAGUUGGUGGGGUAAAGGCCCACCAAGCCAACGAUCUGUAGCUGGUCUGAGAGGACGACCAGCCAAACGGGAACGGAGACACGGUCCAGACUCCUACGGGAGGCAGCAGUGGGGAAUUUUGGACAAUGGGCGAAAGCCUGAUCCAGCCAUUCCGCGUGCAGGAUGAAGGCCCCCGGGUUGUAAACUGCUUUUGUACAGAACGAAAAGGUUUCUACUAAUACUAGGAGCUCAUGACGGUACUGUAAGAAUAAGCACCGGCUAACUACGUGCCAGCAGCCGCAGUAA
RNAcentral lists this ribosomal RNA (500 nucleotides) under uncultured bacterium. Its description in RNAcentral is "partial 16S ribosomal RNA". It matches the Rfam family "Bacterial small subunit ribosomal RNA", at positions 30 to 523 of the family's 1533-position model. The record is from RNAcentral.